This 875-nucleotide ribosomal RNA is filed under the name uncultured bacterium. Its description in RNAcentral is "bacterial SSU rRNA". It matches the Rfam family "Bacterial small subunit ribosomal RNA", at positions 78 to 952 of the family's 1533-position model. The record is from RNAcentral.
AGCAAUACAAUGGUGGCGACCGGCGCACGGGUGAGUAACACGUAUGCAACCUACCUGUAAGAGGGGAAUAACCCGGAGAAAUUCGGAUUAAUACCGCAUAAUACUGCGAGACCGCAUGGUUUUGCAUUUAAACAUUUAUGGCUUACAGAUGGGCAUGCGUAUGAUUAGAUAGUUGGUAGGGUAACGGCCUACCAAGUCAACGAUCAUUAGGGGUUCUGAGAGGAAGGUCCCCCACACUGGUACUGAGACACGGACCAGACUCCUACGGGAGGCAGCAGUGAGGAAUAUUGGUCAAUGGGCGAGAGCCUGAACCAGCCAAGUCGCGUGAAGGAUGACUGCCCUAUGGGUUGUAAACUUCUUUUGCAGGGGAAUAAAACAAAGUACGUGUACUUAAUUGUAUGUACUCUGCGAAUAAGGAUCGGCUAACUCCGUGCCAGCAGCCGCGGUAAUACGGAGGAUCCGAGCGUUAUCCGGAUUUAUUGGGUUUAAAGGGUGCGUAGGCGGACCUUUAAGUCAGUGGUGAAAGUUUGCGGCUCAACCGUAAAAUUGCCAUUGAAACUGAAGGUCUUGAGUGUAAAUGAGGUAGGCGGAAUGUGUUGUGUAGCGGUGAAAUGCUUAGAUAUAACACAGAACACCGAUUGCGAAGGCAGCUUACUGGGAUACAACUGACGCUGAGGCACGAAAGCGUGGGGAUCAAACAGGAUUAGAUACCCUGGUAGUCCACGCAGUAAACGAUGAAUACUAACUGUAUGCGAUAUACUGUAUGCGGUACAGCGAAAGCGUUAAGUAUUCCACCUGGGGAGUACGUUCGCAAGAAUGAAACUCAAAGGAAUUGACGGGGGCCCGCACAAGCGGAGGAACAUGUGGUUUAAUUC